GUGGACGUAGCUCAGUUGGUCAGAGCGCCAGGUUGUGGCCCUGGAGGUCGUGGGUUCGACCCCCAUCGUUCACCCCA
RNAcentral lists this transfer RNA (77 nucleotides) under Bacillota bacterium. RNAcentral's name for it is "tRNA-His". It matches the Rfam family "tRNA". Rfam says of the family: Transfer RNA (tRNA) molecules are approximately 80 nucleotides in length. Their secondary structure includes four short double-helical elements and three loops (D, anti-codon, and T loops). The record is from RNAcentral. Lineage: Bacteria; Bacillati; Bacillota.